AUGUCGACUUUGAAGGCGAGUGGUGGUGGUGUGACCAUCCAGUUCCCCAUGCUUGAAGGCGGCAAUUAUGGGGUGUGGGCUGCAAAGAUGAAGAUCUUCAUGCGUGCACGUGGAGUCUGGGCAGCGGUGGAAGGUGAUGGUGCGGUCGAGGAGAUAAAGGACCAAGAAGCUUUCGCCGCCAUAGCCCAAGCUGUGCCUGAUGCCGUUUUCAUGACUAUAUCGGAGAAAGAGACGGCAAAGGAAGCUUGGGAAGCUCUCAAGGAGAUGCAUGCUAGAGAUGAUCGUGUCAAGAAGGCUCGUGUUCAAGCUCUAAGGAGGGACUUCGAGAGGAUGAGCAUGAAAGAAUCAGAAGGGGUUGGUGAAUUUGCGUUGAAGCUAACCUCCCUGGUUAAUGAGAUGCGGGCUCUCGGAUCAAAGAUGGAGGACAUCGCAGUUGUGGAGAAGUUACUUCGAGCCGUUCUCGAUAAGUUUUUACCGAUCGUUGGUACCAUAGAGCAGUGGGGCGAUGUGUCGAAGAUGUCGGUGAUGGAGGUGAUCGGGAGGCUCAAGACCUAUGAGUUGAUGUUGAAGGGGCGUGAACGCGACCAAGAAGAAGAGCAGUUGAUGUUCUCGCAUAGUAGGGAGAAAGAUAAGCAGAAGUACCGGAAGUUCGACAAAUCUAAAGUCUGUUGCUACAAUUGUCAGGACCAUGGACACUAUUCACGAGAGUGUCCUAAUCUGCGGAAGGAGGCAAAGAAGGAGCACGGGACUCUACAACUAGCUGAAGUGGGCAUGGAUGAUGACCCGAGAUUGCUUUAA
RNAcentral lists this ribosomal RNA (798 nucleotides) under Triticum aestivum (bread wheat). RNAcentral describes it as "partial small subunit ribosomal RNA". The record is from RNAcentral. Lineage: Eukaryota; Viridiplantae; Streptophyta; Magnoliopsida; Poales; Poaceae.